GAAACAGAAAAACUUACCAACCAUAAGAAAAAUGCCUACUUACUUGGUCACUUUUUCCUCCAGUGUGCAGCCAAAAUACAUACCAUUCAUAAGACCUAGAUCAGCCACAAACAUACACCAUUAUGUCUCUUUGUUCUCCAUUAAAAACAAGCAUAUGAAAAUGAACCAAACUUGUGUCACUUAAAACUUUUCACAAAAACAGGCCAAAAUGAUUUGAUUUUAAGCACAAGCUUCAUGGCAUGCUUUUAGAGAGUGAAUAGUUCCAAUUGUGGCUCAGUGGUAACAACCCAACUAGUAUCCAUGAGGACACUGGUUUGAUCCCUGGCCUUGCUCAGUAGGUUAUCAAUCCAAUGUUGCCCUAAGCUGUGGCAUAGACCAGCAGCUGCAGCUCUUAUUCGAUCCCUAGCCUGGGAACCUCCAUAUGCCUCAGGUGUGGCCCUAAAAACCAUAAAAAUAAAAAUAAAAAUAAAUUGGAGAGUGUAAAGUUACAGGCUCUAGCAACUGAUGAAUGUAAGUAGAGAGAGUAACAAUAAGAAAAACAAUCAGACCUCCAGUUUAAGCAUGUGGAGAAUGGUGAUGUCAUGGUGGAAAAUAAGAGGUCAGCAAAAAGAGGAGAUCUGGUCAGAUCUGAGAAGACUAUUAGCUCAGUUCUGAAGAUCUUUAUGCCUGGGACAUUCAACUGAAGAUGUUCAAUAAGUAUGGCAGCCAUCCGGUUCUGGAGAGAGUUAGGUCUAAAGAUGUAAGCAUCAUACAUCUUAGGGGGCAUGAAAAAAACCAUCUCUUCUCACCUGUGCGGACAGGUAGCAGGUAAGGAGGAAAGCACAACCAAGCAGAGAACCCAGAGAAGAGCAGGUUUAGGAGUAACAGAGAGAGGAGGAAGUCAGAAAGAGAUGCAGAGAUGCUGCAAAAUGUGAAGCAGAGAAAGCUUCCACCUUAUGUCAAGUGGAGUGAUAAGUGUCCACAUUAAUUUUCAUUGGUUAUAAGACUGCUUCUGCUCCAUACUUUCAAAGAUAGAACAGGAUAUUAAAUUACUGGGUGAGGAUUUUUCUCCAAAUCAGUCUUGGAAGAUUUUCUAUCUUAUCUCUCUAGCCAGGAGAUGCUGCUAAAUGGUAUCGUCACUAGCAUGCAUCAAGAUCAAACAAAGACAAAUUUUCAAGGAGUUCUCCUGUGGAACAGCAGGUUAAGGAUCCAGUGUUGUCACUGCAGUUGUUCGGGUCACUACUGUGACAGGGGUUGGAUCCGUGGCCCAGAAACUUCCUCAUACAACCAAUUCAACCAAAAAAAAAGACAAAUUUUCAAGUCUAAAUAUCUGUUUUCUACUUAUACCUACUACUAGUUUUCUCAACUCCAGGGAUAAAGGAUAAGAGGAUUUAAACGAAUACUCUUUGGCAUCACUGCUCCUAGGUACAUUAAUUUUUAAAAUUUUUUUUUUAAUUUUUUUGUUUUUUGUCUUUUUGCUAUUUGUUGGGCCGCUCCCACGGCAUAUGGAGUUUCCCAAACUAGGGGUCUAAUCGGAGCUGUAGCGGCCAGCCUAUGCCAGAGCCACAGCAACUCGGGAUCCGAGCCGUGUCUGCAACCUACACCACAGCUCACGGCAACGCCGGAUCGUUAACCCACUGAGCAAGGGCAGGGACCGAACCGGCAACCUCAUGGUUCCUAGUUGGAUUUGUUAACCACUGCGCCACGACAGGAACUCCUAAAAUUUUAUUGAAGUAUAGUUGAUAUGCAAAGUUGUAUUAGUUUCAGGUGUACAGCAAACUUAUUGUUACAUCUGUAUGUGUGAAUAUAGACAUAUUCUUUUUNAUGUAUGUGUGAAUGUAGACAUAUUCUUUUUAAAAACUCAUUUUAUUAUAGAUUAUUAUUAUUAUUUUGCAUAUGGAAGUUUCCAGGCUAGUGGUAGAAUUCGAGCUACAGCUGCAGGCUUACACCACAGUAACUCCAGAUCUGAGCCUUUUCUGUGACCUACACUACAGCACAUGGCAAUGCCAGAUCCUUAACCUGAUGAUCAAGGCCAGGGAUUGAAUCAAUCCUCAUGGAUCCUAGUCAGUUUUUGUUACUAAUGAGCCACGACUGGAACUACCUUCAUUAUAGAUUAUUAAAAGAUAUUGAGUAUUGUUCCCUGGGCUAUACAGUAUACUGGUCCUUACUGAUAUUUGUUUAUAUAUAGUAGUGUCUAUAUUUUAAUCCCAAACUCCUAAUUAAUCCCUCCCUCUAACUUUACAAUAAUUUGUAUACAGUUCAAAAAGUAAAAAAAUAUUUUCAAGGUCA
RNAcentral lists this long non-coding RNA (2268 nucleotides) under Sus scrofa (pig). RNAcentral describes it as "lncRNA (ENSSSCG00015055194.1)". The record is from RNAcentral. Lineage: Eukaryota; Metazoa; Chordata; Mammalia; Artiodactyla; Suidae.